UUCCUACGGGAGGCUGCAGUGGGGAAUAUUGCACAAUGGGCGCAAGCCUGAUGCAGCGACGCCGCGUGGGGGAUGAAGGCCUUCGGGUUGUAAACUCCUUUCAACCAUGACGAAGCGUGAGUGACGGUAGUGGUAGAAGAAGCACCGGCUAACUACGUGCCAGCAGCCGCGGUAAUACGUAGGGUGCGAGCGUUGUCCGGAAUUACUGGGCGUAAAGAGCUCGUAGGUGGUUUGUCGCGUCGUCUGUGAAAUUCCGGGGCUUAACUCCGGGCGUGCAGGCGAUACGGGCAUAACUUGAGUGCUGUAGGGGAGACUGGAAUUCCUGGUGUAGCGGUGAAAUGCGCAGAUAUCAGGAGGAACACCGAUGGCGAAGGCAGGUCUCUGGGCAGUAACUGACGCUGAGGAGCGAAAGCAUGGGUAGCGAACAGGAUUAGAUACCCCGGUAGUCA
Molecule: ribosomal RNA, 449 nt
Filed under: uncultured bacterium
Lineage: Bacteria
Description: bacterial SSU rRNA
Rfam family: Bacterial small subunit ribosomal RNA
Source: RNAcentral